Molecule: ribosomal RNA, 403 nt
Filed under: uncultured bacterium
Lineage: Bacteria
Description: partial 16S ribosomal RNA
Rfam family: Bacterial small subunit ribosomal RNA
Source: RNAcentral
GACGAACGCUGGCGGCGUGCCUAAUACAUGCAAGUCGAACGCAGUGGGGACGGGUGAGUAACACGUGGGUAACCUCCCAUCAGAGGGGAUAACACUUGGAAACAGGUGCUAAAUAGCUAUUGAUGGAUGGACUCGGGGUGCAUUAGCUAGUUGGUGAGGUAACGGCUCACCAAGGCCACGAUGCAUAGCCGACCUGAGAGGGUGAUCGGCCCCACUGGUACGGAGACACGGCCCAGACUCCUACGGUAGGCAGCAGUAGGGAAUCUUCGGCAAAGGACGAAAGUCUGACCGAGCCACGCCGCGUGAGUGCAGAAGGUUUUCGGGUCGUAAAACUCUGUUGUUAGAGGAGCGGUAUCUAACCAGAAAGCCACGGCUAACUACGUGCCAGCAGCCGCGGUAAUUC